GACGGAGGGUGCUAGCGUUGUUCGGAAUUACUGGGCGUAAAGGGCGCGUAGGCGGCCUUGGCAGUCGGGUGUGAAAGCCCGGGGCUCAACCCCGGAACGGCAUCCGAUACUCCAAGGCUCGAGACCGGGAGAGGUGGGUGGAAUACCCAGUGUAGAGGUGAAAUUCGUAGAUAUUGGGUGGAACACCGGUGGCGAAAGCGGCUCACUGGCCCGGUUCUGACGCUGAGGCGCGAAAGCGUGGGGAGCAAACAGG
This 253-nucleotide unclassified non-coding RNA is filed under the name uncultured Alphaproteobacteria bacterium. RNAcentral describes it as "contains 16S-23S intergenic spacer region". It matches the Rfam family "Bacterial small subunit ribosomal RNA", at positions 524 to 776 of the family's 1533-position model. The record is from RNAcentral. Lineage: Bacteria; Pseudomonadati; Pseudomonadota; Alphaproteobacteria.